Molecule: ribosomal RNA, 253 nt
Filed under: uncultured bacterium
Lineage: Bacteria
Description: partial 16S ribosomal RNA
Rfam family: Bacterial small subunit ribosomal RNA
Source: RNAcentral
UACGUAGGGAGCGAGCGUUGUUCGGAAUUACUGGGCGUAAAGAGUGUGUAGGCGGUGCUGUAAGUUCGGUGUGAAAUCUCCUGGCUCAACUGGGAGGGUGCGCCGGAAACUGGAGUGCUUGAGCGUGGGAGAGGAAAGCGGAAUUCCUGGUGUAGCGGUGAAAUGCGUAGAUAUCAGGAGGAACACCUGUGGUGUAGACGGCUUUCUGGACCAUAGCUGACGCUGAGACACGAAAGCGUGGGUAGCAAACAGG